Long non-coding RNA from Myotis lucifugus (little brown bat), 521 nucleotides. RefSeq lists it as uncharacterized. The transcript is spliced from 3 exons. NCBI's taxonomy places the organism in Eukaryota, Metazoa, Chordata, Mammalia, Chiroptera, Vespertilionidae. The record is from RefSeq and is a predicted model, not a curated record.
GAGCCUGGGGCCGCUCCUCCUUCUCUCCGCCCCGCCGGCCGCAGGCGCGGGGACGUCAGCGCUGCCAGCGUGGAAACGGCGGCGGGGCACGGGAGGCGGAAGUGGCGCCUGGGACUGUGUGCCUCCCUCGGGCUCCGCCGGCCGCCUCGACCAUGGACGUGUCCCUGGACAAGCUGCUGUAGAUUUGUUAUUCUGCCUCUGGACAGAUGAAGGAAGUAUUGUUGUACAAGUUCAGCCUGAUGUCUUCCAUGUGCCCACAGGGGUAUACCCCACACCUAGGCUGCGUCUCAUACAUUUUGGAGUAUGCAAUCAAGAAAAUAAAAAGACUGGUUAAAUGAUGGUACAUCCAUAGAACGGAAUAAGGUGUCAGCACUAAGAAAAAUGAAAUAGACAUACUGAUGUGGAACCAUAUUCACUAUAAAGUUUUUUAAGAAAGCAAGUUGCAGAGGUGCAUAUAAGUAAGGUAAAAAUUUGGAAAGAUAAAUAUCAAACUUAAAGUGGCUUUCCCUGGGGAGAGGAAC